RNAcentral lists this ribosomal RNA (513 nucleotides) under uncultured bacterium. RNAcentral describes it as "partial 16S ribosomal RNA". It matches the Rfam family "Bacterial small subunit ribosomal RNA", at positions 28 to 523 of the family's 1533-position model. The record is from RNAcentral.
GACGAACGCUGGCGGCAUGCCUAAUACAUGCAAGUCGAGCGAACAGAUGAAGUGCUUGCACUUCUGACGUUAGCGGCGAACGGGUGAGUAACGCGUAAGGAAUCUACCUAUAAGCGGGGGAUAACAUUCGGAAACGGGUGCUAAUACCGCAUAAUAUCUUCUUCCGCAUGGAAGAAGAUUGAAAGACGGCUCUGCUGUCACUUAUAGAUGACCUUGCGGUGCAUUAGUUAGUUGGUGGGGUAACGGACUACCAAGACGAUGAUGCAUAGCCGACCUGGGAGGGUGAUCGGCCACAUUGGGACUGAGACACGGCCCAAACUCCUACGGGAGGCAGCAGUAGGGAAUCUUCCGCAAUGGGCGAAAGCCUGACGGAGCAAUGCCGCGUGAGUGAAGAAGGCCUUCGGGUCGUAAAACUCUGUUAUAAGAGAAGAACAAAUUGUAGAGUAACUGCUACAGUCUUGACGGUAUCUUAUCAGAAAGCCACGGCUAACUACGUGCCAGCCGCCGCCGUAA